Molecule: long non-coding RNA, 3347 nt
Organism: Rhododendron vialii
Lineage: Eukaryota; Viridiplantae; Streptophyta; Magnoliopsida; Ericales; Ericaceae
Exons: 2
Source: RefSeq, a predicted model, not a curated record
UAUAUGCAAAAAGUUGGGAUUUUUAAAAUAAAAGUACGUCAUUUUUAAGUUCUCGUUUUGCGGAUCGGACAAUUGGGAUGGAUGGAGUAUUUUGUUUUAGAUGCUUAUGCCGACCCUUCUUACCACGAUUGACGGAAAUCCAGGUAGAAUGAAAGAAUUCUCACAAAGUUUGGUUUUCGUUUUCUCGGAGCCAACCCAGUGUUUGCUUCAGUUUUUUGUGAUCGCAAAAUAAUUAAAAUUCCUCAUACGAGGUCACAUCCUUCUUUAGUGCAGUUCCAUGUUUUUUCUUUUCUGUGUUGAGAUUUAUGAUUGUUGUGGCCACAUGGGGUUAGCUCAUUCUUCUAAAUUUCUUAUACUUGUGUGACAGCUUCAAUAUCAAAUACUUUUGGCGGUUGACUAGGUAGAAAGUAAAUUGAAAUAUUGCAGCAUUUUUCAUUUUGUGAUCGUUGAUGAUGUGAGGAUAUUUUAUCGUUUCUUUUGUCACUGGGGGUUGGGGUUUUGUAUGGCGAUCAUGAGGCUUAGACAAACUUUCUACCUCAAGCAUGGUGCGAUAUUAUCUUAGUUUCAGGGGGAAGUCAGUAUGAGAGCAACAACAUAUCUAAGUGGCUUGAGAUAGUACCCAUGUGUUGUAUUCCCUAUUAUUUUUCCAAUUUCUCUGAUUAAGUGUAGAUGAAAGUGAAAACAAGUAAAACUUGUAAUCUUCUUCCACUUCUCUAACUUGAAGCCUUUGUUUCCUAUUGUUGAUUCCAUAUUGGUCAACCUGGGACUGUGGCAGAUUCGUAGGUAGAUUGACAGGUUACUGAUGUAAUUCAAAGAAGGGGCUCACAAGUUUUAAAGUGCAGAAUCUCGAGCAAGACAGAUGAAUAUCAAAUUCAUGGAAACUAGAUUUGACUAACUGUCUAAUAUGAUGAUGCAUGUUUCCGAGUAGGGGGGCCUCUAUAUUUUCUGAAGUUCUAGGAAGCUGGAUAGGAUCUCAAGGAUUUGGCAAUGCUGUGUAGUUUGAGGGACAAAGGUAUUAUUUCGACAUUAAUAUAUUUGUGCCAGUUGCAUUGAGAUGAUGCGAUGAUACGGACAUUAGCGUAGAUGGGUUUUGCUUUUGACUGGUGAAUCUAGAGCUCGCGAGACAUUUGUACUUUUCUAAGUACCUUUUCAUAAUCUAAUACAAUGUUUUAGUUUGCAUUAAUCUCAUUUUCUGUCCAAUAAAGUUUGAAAUAACGCUAUAAGUUAUGAAAUUGAGUGUGCUUAAGCCUAGAUCAAACACGGAGAUCCAAAGACUUUGUCUCUGUUCUUGACAAUGUGCUUGGGCACUGGACCCACUAAGCCAUGCCCCAAAACUCCCAUGCCUUUCAUGGUUAAACCAACCGGCGAUUCAAUAUUGCGCGUUGGCACUACAUUGAGAGAUAGUGGAUAGAGCUAUUAGCAUGCUAGAUAGAGCGCUUGAGUUUUGGGUUGAGAUGGUGAGAUACUGGAGCUAUUUUGUGCGCUUGAUAGUGUGUGGGCGCUCACCACGUGCUCAUGUGGUCAAAAUUCUAUUGUUAGCCAUUUCGUCAGUCCACUAUAAAUAGCUUGAUUUCAUCUUUUGGAGUUAGAGCUCUAGAGCAUCUAGGAGGCACCCUUUUAUGGCUUUUUCAUUCUCUAAGUUGAACCCUCCAUUAUCCCAAUUUAAGUGCAUAUUCGUCAUGUCUUUCGUAGGAUUCAUCGUUUGUCAGGUGGCAUUUCAGACACCCACUUUCCUUUUCUGGUAAAUUGUGGCUGAAGCCAAAUUGAAAUCCACUUUUUUAUGAUUUGCUUAUUUAGUGAACCCUUAGCCAUUGUGGUGACAGAACCUUUUGCGAAUGGAGAUUGAAAAGGCGCUUCUCAUGGUGUCUAUGGUAUCAAGAUUGGCUUGGGGAGCUCUUGAUUCUUGAAGGGAAACAAAGUUAGGUGAUUUAGUGUAAGGGUAUUCAUUCUUCUUGCCUAGUCUUGUAGUCUUUGGUUCAUAGUAGAAUUUGUUUGGGUGUUGGGUUUGUAGGUUUUGUUUCUAGUGUUGGACCUUGGGCUUUUCACAUUAAAGCACUAUUUUCUUUGUUAUCUGUACGUAAAGCUUUACGUAAAUAGUUCACAGAAAUUUAUCAAGAUUGCGUCAGAUCUUAAUUGAGUUAUGUUUUGUUGUUCACAGGUUCCGCAUCUAGGCACAGAUUUAUUGACUCCCGUUUUUUAUUCCCUAAGCUCAGCAAGUAUUAAAAGUCCUUUUCAUAUUCUUGGUAGGAUUUGUUUGGGUGUUGGGUUCGUAGGUUUUUGUUUCUAGUGUUGGACCUUGGGCUUUUCACAUUAAAGCACUGUUUUCUUUGUUAUCUGUACGUAGAGAGUUCAUAGAAUUUUAUCAAGAUUGCGUCAGUUCUUAAUUGAGUUAAGUUUUGUUGUUCACAGGUUCCACAUCUAGGCACAAUUUUAUUGAUGUUUUUUAUUCCCUUACCUCGGCAAGUAUUAAAAGUCCUUUUUAUAUGCUUGCCCUCUUCCUGCCUCAUGAGCAUGACGUAAAUGAUUCUAAAAGGUAGAAAGAUAGCAUUGAGGGUGCCAUUUAUUCGAGAAAAUUAAAGGCGUGCCUUUGUUGAGCAAAGAUUCUAGUGGAAUCCUUUUACAGAGUUAUAUGUGCUUGACUAAAGGGCCUCUCUCAGUAUCAUGGUUUUGAAUACUCUGUUGUACUGGCCGGUAUGGCUGAGAUGUACCACUUGGGUUUGGUUAUAAAACAGUACAUUUGACCUGCAAUUGUGUUUUAGCUAGUUUACCAAACAAUUCUAGUGUGUUAGGGAGAUUUUGCUAUGCUUUGGUAGUUUGGCAAUACCAGCUUCUGGUACGAUGAUUUGUGUGUAUACACGUGCACACGCACACAUAUGUAGAGCACUGGUUGGAGGCAAUGUAGUACAUGGUAAAUAUCAUAACUAGAUAUAUUGUUAAUCCCAUGGAAAUAUUUUAUAUACCUAUGAAUCCAAAGCGGUAUCCAGUAACCUGUUGGAACCGGUAUGAGGUAUCAGUAUAUAUGAUACCAAUGACAGACACAUCUAUAUCUGGUGCAAGAUUUGCAAGAUUUAGAACCUUGCUCUGUUUAGUGAGCACCUUUUCCUUGCCUUGGAAAAUCUCUUUUCCCCCCCCUUGGUAGUGGUGGUGGUGGUGAGAGGUGGGCAUAGUUAUUAGAAUAGCAUGAUGUGCUAUUGGAUUCACAAUUCAUGCAAAUCAAUACGAAUCUAUGGGUGAAUCAAGGUUUAGACAGAAUCAGUGAUGAACCGUACAAUCCACAAUUCAAUUCAUGCGAACAUAAGAAUUGUUGCAUCCGACUAAUAUGAAGCCCCUUUUACCUUCAUUUUUUU